Molecule: ribosomal RNA, 187 nt
Filed under: uncultured bacterium
Lineage: Bacteria
Description: partial 16S ribosomal RNA
Rfam family: Bacterial small subunit ribosomal RNA
Source: RNAcentral
GCCUGCAUGAAGCCGGAAUUGCUAGUAAUGGCAGGUCAGCAUACUGCCGUGAAUACGUUCCCGGGCCUUGUACACACCGCCCGUCACACCAUGAGAGUUGGGGAUACCCAAAGCCCGUGAGCCAACUGUAAAGAGGCAGCGGUCUAAGGUAGAAUCAAUGAUUGGGGUGAAGUCGUAACAAGGUACC